GACGAACGCUGGCGGCGUGCUUAACACAUGCAAGUCGAACGGAAAGGCCCUGCUUUUGUGGGGUGCUCGAGUGGCGAACGGGUGAGUAACACGUGAGUAACCUGCCCUUGACUUUGGGAUAACUUCAGGAAACUGGGGCUAAUACCGGAUAGGAGCUCCUGCUGCAUGGUGGGGGUUGGAAAGUUUCGGCGGUUGGGGAUGGACUCGGGGCUUAUCAGCUUGUUGGUGGGGUAGUGGCUUACCAAGGCUUUGACGGGUAGCCGGCCUGAGAGGGUGACCGGCCACAUUGGGACUGAGAUACGGCCCAGACUCCUACGGGAGGCAGCAGGGGGAAAUAUUGCACAAUGGGCGGAAGCCUGAUGCAGCAACGCCGCGUGCGGGAUGACGGCCUUCGGGUUGUAAACCGCUUUCGCCUGUGACGAAGCGUGAGUGACGGUAAUGGGUAAAGAAGCACCGGCUAACUACGUG
This 468-nucleotide ribosomal RNA is filed under the name uncultured bacterium. RNAcentral describes it as "partial 16S ribosomal RNA". It matches the Rfam family "Bacterial small subunit ribosomal RNA", at positions 28 to 507 of the family's 1533-position model. The record is from RNAcentral.